RNAcentral lists this ribosomal RNA (1465 nucleotides) under Prochlorococcus sp. AG-409-M02. Its description in RNAcentral is "bacterial SSU rRNA". It matches the Rfam family "Bacterial small subunit ribosomal RNA". The record is from RNAcentral. Lineage: Bacteria; Bacillati; Cyanobacteriota; Cyanophyceae; Synechococcales; Prochlorococcaceae.
AGAGUUUGAUCCUGGCUCAGGAUGAACGCUGGCGGCGUGCUUAACACAUGCAAGUCGAACGAACCUUCGGGUUAGUGGCGGACGGGUGAGUAACGCGUGGGAAUCUGCCCUCAGGAGGGGGAUAACGGCUGGAAACGGCCGCUAAUACCCCAUAUGCCGAGAGGUGAAAUGAAUUUCGCCUGAGGAUGAGCCCGCGUCUGAUUAGCUUGUUGGUGAGGUAAUGGCUCACCAAGGCUUCGAUCAGUAGCUGGUCUGAGAGGAUGAUCAGCCACACUGGGACUGAGACACGGCCCAGACUCCUACGGGAGGCAGCAGUGGGGAAUUUUCCGCAAUGGGCGAAAGCCUGACGGAGCAACGCCGCGUGAGGGAUGAAGGCCUCUGGGCUGUAAACCUCUUUUCUCAAGGAAGAAGAUCUGACGGUACUUGAGGAAUAAGCCACGGCUAAUUCCGUGCCAGCAGCCGCGGUAAUACGGGAGUGGCAAGCGUUAUCCGGAAUUAUUGGGCGUAAAGCGUCCGCAGGCGGCCUUUCAAGUCUGCUGUUAAAACGUGGAGCUUAACUCCAUCAAGGCAGUGGAAACUGUUGGGCUUGAGUGUGGUAGGGGCAGAGGGAAUUCCCGGUGUAGCGGUGAAAUGCGUAGAUAUCGGGAAGAACACCAGUGGCGAAGGCGCUCUGCUGGGCCAUAACUGACGCUCAUGGACGAAAGCCAGGGGAGCGAAAGGGAUUAGAUACCCCUGUAGUCCUGGCCGUAAACGAUGAACACUAGGUGUCGGGGGAAUCGACCCCCUCGGUGUCGUAGCCAACGCGUUAAGUGUUCCGCCUGGGGAGUACGCACGCAAGUGUGAAACUCAAAGGAAUUGACGGGGGCCCGCACAAGCGGUGGAGUAUGUGGUUUAAUUCGAUGCAACGCGAAGAACCUUACCAGGGUUUGACAUCCUGCGAACCUCUAAGAAAUUUGAGGGUGCCUUCGGGAACGCAGUGACAGGUGGUGCAUGGCUGUCGUCAGCUCGUGUCGUGAGAUGUUGGGUUAAGUCCCGCAACGAGCGCAACCCACGUUUUUAGUUGCCAGCAUUCAGUUGGGCACUCUAGAAAGACCGCCGGUGAUAAACCGGAGGAAGGUGUGGAUGACGUCAAGUCAUCAUGCCCCUUACAUCCUGGGCUACACACGUACUACAAUGCUACGGACAAAGGGCAGCGAACUCGCGAGGGCAAGCAAAUCCCAUAAACCGUGGCUCAGUUCAGAUCGUAGGCUGCAACUCGCCUACGUGAAGCAGGAAUCGCUAGUAAUCGCAGGUCAGCAUACUGCGGUGAAUACGUUCCCGGGCCUUGUACACACCGCCCGUCACACCAUGGAAGUUGGCCAUGCCCGAAGUCGUUACUCCAACCCUUGUGGAGGAGGACGCCGAAGGUGGGGCUAAUGACUGGGGUGAAGUCGUAACAAGGUAGCCGUACCGGAAGGUGCGGCUG